UACGUAGGGUGCGAGCGUUGUCCGGAAUUACUGGGCGUAAAGAGCUCGUAGGUGGUUUGUCGCGUUGUUCGUGAAAACUCACAGCUUAACUGUGGGCGUGCGGGCGAUACGGGCAGACUGGAGUACUGCAGGGGAGACUGGAAUUCCUGGUGUAGCGGUGGAAUGCGCAGAUAUCAGGAGGAACACCGGUGGCGAAGGCGGGUCUCUGGGCAGUAACUGACGCUGAGGAGCGAAAGCAUG
Molecule: ribosomal RNA, 240 nt
Filed under: uncultured bacterium
Lineage: Bacteria
Description: partial 16S ribosomal RNA
Rfam family: Bacterial small subunit ribosomal RNA
Source: RNAcentral